Long non-coding RNA from Amborella trichopoda, 729 nucleotides. RefSeq lists it as uncharacterized. The record is from RefSeq and is a predicted model, not a curated record. Lineage: Eukaryota; Viridiplantae; Streptophyta; Magnoliopsida; Amborellales; Amborellaceae.
UGUGGUACACCAACGACCCGGAUGAAAGGGGUGAAGAUGAAGGGUCGCCAUUCAAAAGGGAAACUCACAUUGCAAAAAGGGAAAACUCCAUUUGAAAUGGAGACUGCAUGGCCCUGCAAACUCCCUCCUACUGUGUAGAGAUGGCAUGCCUAUCUACUGCCUCAAACCCUUCUCAUACUCAAUCUUUUUCUCUCUCUACCAAUGCUCCCACUCCCUCUCUCUCUAAACCAUACGAAUUCAGCUAUCAUUCCCUUUCUAUCUCUAAAAUCAGACGAGCCCUAUCUCUCCCUCGCACCCUCUCUCUCUCUGUAAACCAGAAAUACAGAAAUCGCUCCCACUCGCCAUUUAUGUUCUUUCUCUGCUCCUCUCAUACGCAAUCUCUCUCUCUCUCUCUCUCUCUCUCUCUCCCCGUUUUCCUCCCUAUCUUUCAAAAACUAUAGCAGGGAAGUCCUACCAAACUGUCGUCUCCCUCUCUCUACACCUUCCGGACGACAACAGAAGUGGAAGCCCUCUCUCGCUCGCUGUCACAGAGGUUCACAAAUAGUUCAUGUUCCCUUAAGCCAACAAAGAUGCUCCUCAGUCUCUCUCCAUGUGUUCCAUACUUUUAUCACUAUGUAUUUUGGUAAAAGAUUAACACUAUUCUCCGCUAUUUCAGUGUGUAAUAGAUCAAGACUAUUCUUAUUAAUGUAGGUCGAAAAGAUGCUCCACAGAAGAUGUGGUAAAUUUUUG